GAAGACAAAGGAGAAUGUGUCGAGUUGUUAAGUUUAGUUAGUGGAAAGAGUUAACUGUUGAGAGGAAAAAGCAUGUAUAGGGAAAUGUAAAUAGGAAAGGUUUAGGUAAAUGUAAGGCAAGGAAAGGUUAAUUAGGGUACGAAACGCUACGAAAAAGAAGACAAAGAGUUGGUAAGUUAGUUAGUGGAAAGAGUUAGGCGUUGAAAAGAAAAAGCAUGCAUAGGGAAAUGUAAGUAGGGAAGGUUUAGGUAAAUGUAAGGCAAGGAAAGGUACAAUUAGGGUACGAAACGCUACGAAUAGAAAGACAAAGAAGAGGACGAACACUUCCUGGUAUUAAAUUUAGAUAGUGAAGAAAAGUUAAGCGUUGAAAGGCAUAAAAGAAGGAUAAGUUUUUAUUUUUAUUUUCUCACUUUCUCUAAUUCCUUCCUCACUUUCUUCUUCCUCCUCCCUUGCUAUCAUUCAUUGUUUUCCUAAUUCUUGGGGAGCACAAGGACGUAGGUAAGGUAUAUAAACAGGUAAAGGUUAGGUUAGGAAACACAGGUACAUAGGUAAGAUAUAUAAACACAGGUAAAGGUUAGGUUAGGAAACACAGGUACAUAGGUAAGAUAUAUAAACACAGGUAAAGGUUAGGUUGGGGAGCACAGGUACAUAGGUAAGAUAUAUAAACACAGGUAAAGGUUAGGUUGGGGAGCACAGGUACAUAGGUAAGAUAUAUAAACACAGGUAAAGGUUAGGUUGGGGAGCACAGGUACAUAGGUAAGAUAUAUAAACACAGGUAAAGGUUAGGUUGGGGAGCACAGGUACAUAGGUAAGAUAUAUAAACACAGGUAAAGGUUAGGUUGGGGAGCACAGGUACAUAGGUAAGAUAUAUAAACACAGGUAAAGGUUAGGUUGGGGAGCACAGGUACAUAGGUAAGGUAUAUAAACACAGGUAAAGGUUAGGUUGGGGAGCACAGGUACAUAGGUAAGAUA
This is a long non-coding RNA of Eriocheir sinensis (Chinese mitten crab), 972 nucleotides long. RefSeq lists it as uncharacterized. The transcript has 4 exons. The record is from RefSeq and is a predicted model, not a curated record. NCBI's taxonomy places the organism in Eukaryota, Metazoa, Arthropoda, Malacostraca, Decapoda, Varunidae.